AUUGAACGCUGGCGGCAUGCCUAACACAUGCAAGUCGAACGGAAACGGGCUUUCGGGUGCCGACGAGUGGCGGACGGGUGAGUAAUACACCGGAACGUGCCCGACCCUGGGGGAUAACGAGGCGAAAGCUUUGCUAAUACCGCAUACGAUCUACGGAUGAAAGCCGGGGACCGCAAGGGCUUGCGCGGACGGAGCGGCCGAUGGCAGCUGAGGUAGUUGGUGGGAUUAAAGCUUACCAAGCCGACGAUCUGUAGCUGUGCUGAGGGGGUGAUCAGCCACAGUGGGAGUGAGAGGCGACCCAGAGUCCUAGGGGAGGCAGAGGUGGGGAAGUUUGGAAAAUGGGCGGAAGACUGAUCCAGCCAUGCAGGGUGGAGGAUGAAGGCCUGCGGGUGGUAAACUGCUUUUGUGCGGAACAAAAGGCCUUGUUUUAAUACAGGAGGGUCAGGAGGGAACCGUAAGAGUAGGCACCGGCUAACUACGU
RNAcentral lists this ribosomal RNA (481 nucleotides) under uncultured bacterium. Its description in RNAcentral is "partial 16S ribosomal RNA". It matches the Rfam family "Bacterial small subunit ribosomal RNA", at positions 29 to 506 of the family's 1533-position model. The record is from RNAcentral.